RNAcentral lists this ribosomal RNA (204 nucleotides) under uncultured Lactobacillus sp. RNAcentral describes it as "partial 16S ribosomal RNA". It matches the Rfam family "Bacterial small subunit ribosomal RNA", at positions 160 to 354 of the family's 1533-position model. Lineage: Bacteria; Bacillati; Bacillota; Bacilli; Lactobacillales; Lactobacillaceae. The record is from RNAcentral.
AUGCUAAUACCGGAUAACAACAGAUGAUGCCUAUCAACUGUUUAAAAGAUGGUUCUGCUAUCACUCUUGGAUGGACCUGCGGUGCAUUAGCUAGUUGGUAGGGUAACGGCCUACCAAGGCGAUGAUGCAUAGCCGAGUUGAGAGACUGAUCGGCCACAUUGGGACUGAGACACGGGCCCAAACUCCUACGGGGAGGCAGCAGAC